CCUGUGGGAGACAGUAAGAUGAACUAACAGCUAUUAAUUAUUAAGCAGAUGAUCAGGUGAUCAAAAACUUAAUUUUGAGAGAGGAAGAAGAGAGAGCUAAAGUACAUGUAGCCCAAAAAAUCAUGUCUUGAUAAAUGGACUAUGUAUGUGACAUAGACAAAGCUUCCAGACACCAGGGACAAAGGUCAGAUGCUGAAAUGUAAAUAUGCCUCUAAAGGAAACAGUUUGGUGGAGAGCUUAAAGUGAAGAAAACAAAUUGCAAGAUGGAUGUUACAUUUUUACACCUAAGAGAACACUUUGAUGAACUUCUAAAAAUCAACAUUCUAGCACAGCAGAAGGCAGUGACUGUUGAUAAUAAAGAUCGGAAGCCCCACUGUAAUUAAAGCCCAAGUCUGGCACUGAAGAUGUGUAGAAUUUUACUACAUACAGACGUCCUUGGCUCUUUGGACUGACAAAAUGGAGGAAAAAUGAGGAAUUCUGAGAGAAGUCAGAUAGAAGGAAUUACUCAAGAUUUCCUGGACAACAUUGCCUUGACUACAGUAGAAGAGCAGAAAUUAGAUUUCUGAGAACAUAGCACUCUAUUUGGACCAUAAGAUAGAAAAUUCUUACUUAAUUUACCUUCUAUAUUUUAACAGCUUGAAGAAAAAUUAUCUUUCCAGGUAUACAAAAGGUAAAGCUCGGUCCUGACUAGCAUCUAGAUACCAGAUGAUUUAAUUUAAGCCACAUGAAUUAAUGAGAUUUUUAAAAAUCAGCUUUUAAAAUAAUCAUACAUACACACGUUCUAUAGAAUAUGAAUGGUUAAAGUGUCAAUAAUAAGUACAUUCAAUCAUUGACAAUGGGGUUGGCUUGCAUUAGUAGUUAAUUUGGCUAUCUCUAGGACAUGAUACAAGAGAAAAAUAGCAGGUUUAGACUCAAAAGACAUGAAUUUGCAUCUAGAUGCUUCUUUCUACCAGUUUUGUGGCUGAGAAAGUCAUUUAAACAUCUGUAACUCAAUCUGAGCUAAUGAUGGAUCUCAAUCACAUAGGACAAAGGGGAAAUGUAUUUUUUUGACCCUACAGUAAAAUAAAAUGACUUUAGUCAUCAGAAAAUGAUCUUUCAAAUACAAUAUCAAUGACCUCUAAAUCAAAUUUUCCCCAUCUGUAAAACAGACCUGAUAAAACCACCUCAUACGAUUUUUUGUGAUGAUUAAACAAAUUUAAGUCAAUAAAAGAAUGUUAAGAAGAAAUUUGAUAACAUAAAAUAGGACAUUAUUAUGAUCCUUUAAUUUUGUUUUCUAGAGGCACCAAGAAAAAGAAAAAACAAUCUUAUUCUGGAAAUAAGGAUUCUAUUCUGGAAAUAGUAUCAAACCAAUAGAGAUUUAUUGAUUAUCUGGUAUUUCAUUACUGCCUUUUUUCUGAUUUAGAGAGCAUAUCUUAAUGAAUGACACUAAAAUGAUUUAACAAUUUUGAGCAGUUGACUUAAAAUGGGUUUUAAGUCAGAACAAAAUGUAUCUUAAUUGUCUGAUUAUGUAACUUUAUUUGGCCAUUUAAUUUAUAGGAUUUCUUUUCUAAAAGAGUUUAGUUUCCAUACUGGUUACCAGUGUGUAUAUGAGACAGAAAAAAAGCAAAACUUCAUGCUUAAGGUAAAAGUCAGUCACUUUUUUUGGAGCAUUUAUAAAAGUUAAGGGACUGAGUUUUCUUCAGGGCCCCCAAGCCCACUGGGUUAAAUAGUUUACUUUGGCCUAUAUUAUUUUAAUUGACUUGUAAUUCCCUCUGUACUUCCUUUUCUUCCCUCUGUGAUUCCCAAGAGGGGACAUAACACACUCUGGAGGUUGUUUUGUUUUUCCAACUUGCCUUGCAGCCAACUCUGUGCAAAAGCAAAGGAACUAUUAAUCGUGACCCUGGGCUUCCUUAUGACAUUCACAUCAGUAUUUUACCUAGAAUCUUCCAAAAUUUGCAAGGAGUUUUCAGGUUCUUUCUUGUAUCACGCCUUACACACAAAUCCUCCACUCCUUGAAGAGUGGCUUCUGGUGCUUUCAUUUAGAUAGCUUCUCAGUGUUACAGGAGAAAGUUCAAUCUCCUUCAUAACCUGAUGUACUCUCUUACCACUCUCUCAUACCCACUCAACAAUUUCCCCAUAUAGAACUUUCUGCUUGGCCCACUUAUGCUAUGCUCUUUCUUUCAUGCUUGAAUCAGCCUAAGAUGUCGGCCAGGAAUACGUUUUUCCCUCUUCUUUGCAGAGCAAAUGUCUGUUUAUCCUCUCUAUGUCUAAAGCUGUCUCCUAACCCCUUUAUACAUUCUUCACUUACCCUAAGGCAGGAUUACUUAUAAUUAUGCCAUAUAGCACUGUAUAAGCUUCUCUUGGGGCAAUUAUCACAAAACCUUAAUUUGUGUGUUAAUUUUCCUAUUUUACCCAAUAGAAUGUAAGCAUCUUAAUAAUAGAACUCUAGGUUUUAUAAAUGCCUGUCUCUUUUUUCUUCAAGACUUGGCCUUGGUUAUGUACCAGCUAUCUCCUAAAUAUUAAAUAAAGGUGUUUUAAAAUUUCUACUUAUUUGCCAAAAGUCUUUUUAGAUAAAGGAAUAGCAAGUGCACAGGCCCCAGGCAGGAAUGUGGUGCAGUGUUUGUGGACUGGCUAUGGCCAAUGUUGCUGAUACAGAGGGGGAAGGAGUAAAGUAGUAAAGAUUGGGUCACAGAAGGGCCAGAAGCCAGAUCCUAAGGGCUAUGGAAGACCUUGCCUUUUACCGUGGCCAGAAAUUUUUAAGUGGAGAAGUGAUGUGAUCUCUUAGAUUUAAAAGGCUUACAACAGAUUCAAAGACUAGUGGCUACUAAAGCAGGAAGAUGAGAUAGAAGGCUAUUGCAAAAAUCCAGACGAUGGUGCUAAUUGUUUCCUGCUAAUUCAAAACAAAAAUGCUAAUACAAACAUUGUAUGUGUAUUUAUUACUGUUUAUUAACGUUUUUUCACUCUUUCUUUAGAUGAUAAGUCAAUCUAAUUAGUCAUUAAAAUUUUUAUUCAUUCUAUUGUUAGUCUUAAUGAAUAAGACUUUUGUUUAGUGGUCUUAGUUUCACCUUAUCUCCAAUAUCUUACUAUGAUUUUCUAUGUGAAAUUUAAGCAAGAAACUAAAUCUGUUAAUAGCUGUCUGGCAUUAUAUCAUGUCAUUCUCUUUGUACUUAACUCUGUGUUUCAUAGUAUUCUAAAAUGGUGAUUAGUCAUUAAUCAGGAAUGUUCUGAAUGGCUUAGUGUAACUUCAGAUUUUGCUACAAACUUACAUUGAAAUAGUGAUAUGUUUUUAAUAUCAUUUCUAUCUUUUUUGAUUUGUAUUUUUUACGUUUUUAGUACCUAAAACCACUUAGGUGUUAAGCACCAAGAUAAUUUUUUGAUAAGCUCUACAUAAAUAUUCACAAGUAGGUUUUUAUAUCCUCAGUGCACAUUGUUCAAUAUCAACAAAUAUUAGAUGAUUAGUUACUCUGCUGAAGCAUUGACCUUUCAGAUGGUCACUGACAAAAAACUCUCAAUGAACUUUGUACAUUACUGCUUAUUUGGACUGUGAAUUCUAGUUCAAUUGUGAGAAAUGUUUAUUUUCCCACCCCUGUUUAUAUAGUUAUGCUAAAAUACUUCAUUGCUAUUUUCUUUAACACAUGCACUGAAUAGAAACAAAAAAGGGAAAAGACUUGUACAGUUAUUGUUAUAAAACUUCUGGAAAAAGCUAACAUGGAGAUAGAAAUUUUU
Long non-coding RNA from Pongo pygmaeus (Bornean orangutan), 3705 nucleotides. RefSeq lists it as uncharacterized. The record is from RefSeq and is a predicted model, not a curated record. The transcript has 3 exons. NCBI's taxonomy places the organism in Eukaryota, Metazoa, Chordata, Mammalia, Primates, Hominidae.